AGUUGUAAACUAACUGUUGCGUUCACUUGCCGCACUCGGAAGUAUUUUAUAGGGAAACGUGAGUAAAAACGUUAAGUGCUUUCCGUGAUAUGUGACACUUGAUCUUUUGUGCCUUUGUUAUUGUUUUUUUUUUUAUUUGAAUUUUGUUGAUAGUGGUUGAAAUCUGUUGGCAGCUUUGCGUUCAAAAUUUUUCAACACAAAAUUUGGUUUUUCUGUAUAGGAAAAAUAAGGUGUGUCUGAAACUUGAAGUCACUACUUUUGAAUCAGGCACCACAGUAUGAACCUAGUCGUGGAGGUCUUAUCUUAUUGUUCGUAGGAUCCGCGGCCCUUUGCCGCCCCGCGUAAAUGACUAUGGCAGAGAGUACAGUCGAUUCCUCCACCACUACUGACAAAGCUAAUAACAAUCAUCCAUUAGUUAUCAAUCACAAUCAUCGUAUCGUCGGUAAAUAUAAGAAAAGAAAGAGACUGAGUCAAGUAUUGGACAAACUCACAGCGGGAAGUACAUCUCCCCAUGAGAGUGAGCCGUCCCCCGAUAAUUCAGUAAACAACAACAAUGUUGCCGAAAUGUACAAUAACAAUAAAGGAGAUUUAACAAUCGAGAUAAUGCACGAGAAACAAUACAGACCCGAGGUAUUUAAAUUCGAUGUCACCGACAAAGACAAGUACAAAACUAUAAGCGAAGACGAAGAUGUUUUUAGUCCCGCGAGUUCAAGUAACAAGUCACCUCACAGUUCGACCGAUUCACCCCAGAUACGAUUUAGCCCGUUAAGGAUCAAGGAUGACGGAAGUCCAAGUCCUCCAUUAUUACAAAGACCGACAACUUGUCCUUGCUAUCAAUGCGUUACAGGAGUUGUUAUAGGACAUCAUCCGCCACCACUUCAUCCUUAUGACAGAUUUUUUCCGGCGUCACCUAUUUCACCAUUGACUCCAUCUUCUCCAGCGCCUACGUACAGCUUUGAACGUUACCUGCAUUCUAAGUACCUGCCAGAUAUAUUCCGUAAGAGAAGCCAUUCUGACUCAGACUUACCCAUGUGGUUUGAAACUGCAAAAGCUGAAAGAGCGAGAGCUCCUCCAUCCUGGCCACAUCCUCUGACACUUUCGACUGGUUGCGGCAAAGGAUCUGUUGAUUCGAAUGCUUGGUCUCCUCAAGAAUCUCCAUUGGAUCUGUCAAUGAAGUCAUCCAGAUGUCGAGAACGUUUGGAGUGCAUGAUUCCACCUCCAUUACAAUUGAUUUCUCCUGGAUUUCUGCCUCCCCGAGGACCUGUUUCUGUACCUGUUGUUAAAGGUGACGUGGCGUCGCCUACUACAAAAGAAUCGGUCGCUUCAAGAUACAAUCUCGAAGUGUCACCCGUUGUUGAAGAGAUGCCACCGGGCUCCGAUGUUGCUUAUGUUUGCCCAGUGUGCGGUCAGAUGUUCAGUUUACAUGAUCGUCUAGCUAAACAUAUGGCUUCCAGACACAAAAGUCGACAAAACAACGGGGAAACCGCGGCAAAAGCUUACUUAUGCGAAGUAUGUAAAAGGUCUUUCGCUCGUAGUGACAUGCUAACUAGACACAUGAGACUGCAUACGGGAGUGAAGCCUUACACUUGUCGCGUUUGUGGUCAAGUGUUUUCGAGAUCUGAUCAUUUAUCUACUCAUCAAAGAACUCAUACUGGCGAGAAACCGUACAAAUGUCCUCAAUGUCCUUAUGCUGCGUGUAGAAGAGACAUGAUUACGAGGCACAUGAGAACGCACACACGAUUUGAACCGGAUCCCAUUGCCACUCAAAUAAAGGCUGAGCAAAUUAAGGCUGAAAAUCAUUGAGAUCUGUUUUGAAAUGUUAAUAAAUGAGGUCCACGCCAAGAGUUAUAGUUAUUUAUUCUAAGGAGGCGAGAUAUUUUCAAAUAUUUUUAUUUAUUUGUAGAGAACAAAUCUCAUAUACGAGGGUAGUUCGGGAAGUUAUGUUGUGUCUGAAAUCGUAAUUCUGUAGGUAAGUAAGAUAUUAUUGAUUACCUAAAUCGUUAAUAUUUGAUAAACUUUUAUUAACGUGUCAGCAACGAUAAGUUUCCGAACGAUAAUGUUUUGAAUCACUAUUGAAUCCAAUUUUGAUUAAUACGUCAGAAGUUGACUUUUUUCUGUAUAAAGAAAUAGAAACAUCAGAUUCCAAUUACAUUUGACAGAUGAAUACACACAUCUAAUAUUGUUUUUUUUUCAAACAUCUGGUACGAUUUGAUUGCAUCAGUAUUUAUAUAUAGGGUGUACCAAUCUUGGGCAAACGAUAGAUGGUUUAUAAGAGAUAUAAAGGAAAUCAUCACCUAACCUAACCAAAACGAUAAUUAUCUCUUUCUUUGUAUUUGGUCAGAAAUCCUUCAAGCUAGUCACCACAUUAUUGGCAUUCAUAAACAUCGCUGAUAUGUCCACCAGGUAGUAGCUAUGUCCUCAGCUCGUUUUUACCAAAGAGAUUUGAAAAUCACAAAUAUUGUAAGAUGAUCAUGGUACACCAAAAUGAAUCUCUAUCCUAGUUAAGACUAGAAAUCAAUAAUAUAUAAAAAUCUAACGGUAAAAUAAAAUUUUAUCGAACAAAUUAAAAAAUUGCAUAUUCAGUUGACCUCCCAGCAGAAACUGCAAAGUACAACUGAUGAAAUCAGAGAUAAAGGCGUGCUUUAAAACUUAUGUACCUUGUCACGUGAUAUUCGAAAAGAAUCGAUUAUAUUUGUUCUAAUACGCCUGUUCCUCGUCUAAUAUUCUGUAGAAUAAAAUAUAGAUCAUUUCAUAGAUGCCCGGCUAGAUUUAGACAUUGCCUAAACCUUUUAUGAGAUGCUGGGGUUUAAACUUUACUCGUUACAGAUCUACGAGGGUUAUUCAAAUAUAAACUUGUUUUCUUUUGCUCUAAAAUAUUUUAUUAAUGAGUUACACAGUUGAAAUUUUUAACAGUUUCUCUAGAUACUCUCCGUCAAAUUAUAUACAUUUUUCCUACGUCUCCGGAAGAUUUCUGAUGCCUUUCGUCUUGUCACGUAAUUCGCGUAUAAAGAAUUCAACCUCUCCAUGAGUUUCUAACUCAAUUCGGUCAGGGUUUCCAUCGUAAACCGUAUGCGUUCUGCGGCAAUAUCGCACGACGGAUUGGAAUAUCGCGUCGUUUUGACCUGUAGGCAGGUUUUACCGUGUUUUACAGGUUACUAUAAUAGUACGCGUUCAUCAGUUCAUUGUUCAGUGAGAAAAUCAAACGGAAUUACUGCUCUUAUAUCCCAAUACCUUCCCAGCUGAAAGUAUAACUUUUUCUUUAACUGGCGAGUCUUUGUCGUUUGACCUCCAACCCAUAGACGAACGUUAAUUCUCCAGAAUAUGGUGGUAUACCCAAGUCUCGUCUGAAGUAAAUAUUCGAUGCAAUCAAUUUUCUCCUACCUCUUCAUACUAUUACAGGAGACGCAUGAUUUAAUGCCCAAAAUUUAGACAGUCUUGGCACCCAUCAGACUGAUAUUAUUUGCUCAAAACUACCAACGCUGAUGCCCACUUUUUCAAAUGAGUUCUGGAGCUCUGGAGCGACACGCAUGCGGCAAGUUUGUCACCACUUCUCGACGUUUUCGGAAAACGGAACACCGAUCGUUGAUUUGAGUUUUGAAGAGCCACUCACCCUCAAAUUUAUCCAAUAGUUUCGAGCCAAAAAACGAAUAAUGAUGCGUUGUGUUUACGAAAACUAAAUUUUUCGUAUUCAUUCAAAAAUUAUGGCUUAUAUUUGAACCUCCCUCGAACUGUACUGUGGUUUACAUGAUAAUGAAGACAGUGUCUUUAGUUCCAAUACAGAUGUUCCGAUAUCGUAAGCUAUUUAUUAAAUGAACUUUCUCAUUUGAAAUAAAAUAUAUAAUGAUAGGUAAAACAUACAGGAACUGUUCAUUUAGUGAUUAUUUUCGAAAACUACGAUAUUUAAUGUGGAUAUUUAUCUGUCAAUAUAGUUACUUUAAAUUCUGAUUUAAUACUGACGAUUAGAUCACGUUUACCGCCCACAUAUUUUCCUCAGAAUUGUAUAAUAAUUGACUUUAACAUGUUGAACUUUGCCUUAUGUCAAUUGAUAACAUAAAGGGAGAGGCUUUAAUGUUGUAACCUCACUCAUCGAAAUGUAUAUUGGAAAGGAAGACCCAGCUGAUUUAGUUUUUCUGUAAUCAAUUCGAAUAUUUUUUAAUUUUUAUCUUUAAUUCAUGAGUUUGAGAAAUCUGUCUUAUAGACAACUAUUUAUAAUGUUUUCUCUGUUUAUAUUAAUAUUUAUUGGUCGUUAUUGUUGAUUCGAAUUUUCAUACAACUUCUGGAUUAUAGCUAAGGUAUACAGGGUGUUCCGGGACUUGAUGUAAAAAAUUCAGAAGUGAGUUAUGGUCCUUUGAAGUUGCGAAAUCAGAACUUAUAUUUAAGUAUAAUUUCAAAAAUAUAUAUUCGAACAUUAUGAAAUUCUAAUAGAUGAUUACGUAUGUCCUUGUAGUGUAUUUGAAGGAAUAAAUAAUUUUACACUAUUAUCUGAACGCCAAGAGCGGCUCAUACCCAAUGGUUCACAAUCCGUAACUUUUACAGGGACAAUCUGUACAACUCGAUAAAAUUUAUGGUUUAGGAGAUAUGAAGAUUUUUAGAUCGUUGUACAUACCAAGAAAACCAUUCGCCAUAAAGAGACAUUCUGAAGAAAAUUAUCAUAAAUUGUAAUUAUUUAUGGAAAAUUCUUAUAGAAGGAAUUAAAACACGAUCAAACAUUCCUAAUUAAACUGUGUAUCAUCGAAUAUCGUGUUAUUUACAUUAGGAAAUAUUUAGUUGGUUAGUCUACAAAACAUUCUACGGAGGAUAUUUCUUUCCAAGACUCCGCCUUAUGGCGUCACAAUUGAAAUUUAUUUCAUUGAUCAUUUCGUUCCUUGUUUUUACCGGUGUUGCUUAUAAGAUAUCCCUAAAAAGUGAAUCCAUUGUACUCAAUUUACGAAAACGUCGUGGUAAUGCAAAUAGACCUCCCCUACCAAUGCACCUAUUAGGAAAAAUUAUAUCAAAAUUAUCUUUUACAUCACCGUGCAUGAAUCACAUGUCUCCGCGAAUGUUUGAGUUAUACCACAUAACAUGAGUGGGAAAUCAUUUUCGUAUCGCUGACCAUUCAGGUUAUUAUGGAUCUACUAAAUUAUUAUCAACAAAAUUAAUUAAUAAAAUGUACUUUUCCAAUAAAUUUAUUAGCAAUUCAUAAUCCUCUACUUGGUAUGCACUUUCUGGAUGUGAAAGUAGUGAAGAAGCUGCUCGUGAAGAAUCCUAUGAAUAGUUGUCGUUGAUACGUUAGAUUGUAAUGUCAUUUUACGUACACUAGUUGUAUGAUCAGUAUCUUCUGCAUCUUGCUCGAAAGCUGGUGUUCGUAUAGUUCGUUGUAGACCAUUUUUUGGUAGGAGGCUUCCUAAAUUCUUAUUCUAUAAAAAAUAAUGGAAACUAGUUUACGUAAUUUAUGUAGACAAACCUGUUUUUCGUAAGCUGUGAUCAACCCUAACAAAAGUUCCACUUGCGGGUGUAAUUCUGCCGGGAAAGCGUUCAGUAUACAACGAUUUAGUUUCUGACGAGUUCCCUAAACCAAAUCACACAUCAAAUGCAUGUGACAUAUACACUAAAGGUGAAUUCUACCAUAAUGAAGCUUUAAAUAUGAUGUGAUAAUUAUUGAUGACGAGUUUUGAAAGGUUUGCAGCAAACUGAUAUUAACAAAUUAAAUCGCUUGCAAUUUUUAAUUGAAUAUUAAGUAAUAACUUAUACAUAAUAGAUUAAAAAUUAUUAUUAAUCUCUUUUAAGUUUUUUCUUAUGCCAGUAAUAUGAUAUUCGAUAGUAUGUAGUACAAAUUUAUUUAUUCUCAAUUCUUCAAGAAAUGUUUGAUUUCGUUUCAAUUCCUCCUGUAAGUAUUUUUGAUAAAUAAUUACAAUUUUUAAUAAUUCAUAUCUAAUUCAAAACUACAUAUAUCCGAAACCAAACAAAGAGUACCUUUUUAUUAAAAAAUCGAUUAAACUAUUUAUUUUUGUUAUUUUUAUAUUGUACAGGUUGUCCUUGUAAAAGUUACGGAUUGCUAAUCAUUGAGCAUGAGCCGCCCCUGUUCUUCAGAUUAUAGUGUAGAAUUAUUUAUUUCGUUAAAUAAACUACAUGGAUAUUCGUUAUCAUUCAUUAGAAAUCAUGAUGUUAUAAUGUAUAAUUUAGAAAAUAUACUUAAAUAUAAGUUCUGAUUUCGCAGCUUUAUGUAACAGCACGUCAUCUACUCACUCCCGGAUUACCCUGUAAGUAUACAGUUGCUACGUAUUGAUAUUCUUAUACAAAAAAAUGUUAUUUUGCAACGAAAAUUAUUUUUAGCUUUUGAAUUCCACAUCACAUAACCGGUUUCAAUGGUAAAAACUCUCCCUGUACAUUUGAUAUUUUUGUCCAUAAAAUUAUUUAUUCUAUUAAUUGUUAUCUCAUUAGUUAUAACUAUGAUCGUGUAUUACUGAAAAUACUUAUUGGGACCAAAAAAAAGUUUUUCUACAUUGCUGUAAGUGAAUUUUUGGACAUUUUAAUUUAUUUCGAAUUUUUAUCUAGUCUUUAAAGCGUACUGGAAUUCCCUUUAGUAUUUUUAGUUUCUACUAAAUACGAGAAUUUUGUUCAACAAUGUUGAAAUGUUUCGACUUUCUCUUUGUUUAGUUUAAGAAAAUUUUGAAAAAUGUUGUUACGUAUGACAAAGCCAUCCUUUUUAUUAUGAGGCUGUGGUUUCUAUACAGUAAUUGUUGUCGGUUCGUUUUUUAAUUUAAAAUGUUUGUAUGUUUAUGCUAUAUUAGCAAAGUUGUGUAUUUUUAUUAAAUUUUCAAUAAAACAAUAAAUUUUUA
RNA transcript from Diorhabda sublineata, 6818 nucleotides. It is a transcript of the gene named zinc finger protein GLI4, with no coding region annotated. The transcript is spliced from 5 exons. Lineage: Eukaryota; Metazoa; Arthropoda; Insecta; Coleoptera; Chrysomelidae. The record is from RefSeq and is a predicted model, not a curated record.